RNAcentral lists this ribosomal RNA (451 nucleotides) under uncultured bacterium. Its description in RNAcentral is "bacterial SSU rRNA". It matches the Rfam family "Bacterial small subunit ribosomal RNA", at positions 328 to 795 of the family's 1533-position model. The record is from RNAcentral.
AUCCCAGACUCCUACGGGAGGCAGCAGUGGGGGAUAUUGCACAAUGGGGGAAACCCUGAUGCAGCGACGCCGCGUGGGUGAAGAAGUGCCUCGGCGCGUAAAGCCCUGUCAGCAGGGAAGAAAAUGACGGUACCUGAAGAAGAAGCCCCGGCUAACUACGUGCCAGCAGCCGCGGUAAUACGUAGGGGGCAAGCGUUAUCCGGAUUUACUGGGUGUAAAGGGGGCGCAGACGGCCAUGGCAAGCCCGGUGUGAAAGGCAGGGGCAUAACCCCUGGACUGCACUGGGAACUGUCAGGCUGGAGUGCCGGAGGGGUAAGCGGAAUUCCUGGUGUAGCGGUGAAAUGCGUAGAUAUCAGGAGGAACACCGGCGGCGAAGGCGGCCUGCUGGACCGCGACUGACGUUGAGGCUCGAAAGCGUGGGGAGCGAACAGGAUUAGAUACCCUCGUAACA